GCCAGACUCCUACGGGAGGCAGCAGUGGGGAAUAUUGCACAAUGGGGGAAACCCUGAUGCAGCGACGCCGCGUGAGCGAUGAAGUAUUUCGGUAUGUAAAGCUCUAUCAGCAGGGAAGAAGAUGACGGUACCUGACUAAGAAGCCCCGGCUAACUACGUGCCAGCAGCCGCGGUAAUACGUAGGGGGCAAGCGUUAUCCGGAUUUACUGGGUGUAAAGGGAGCGUAGACGGCGAUGCAAGCCAGAUGUGAAAGCCCGGGGCCCAACCCCGGGACUGCUCUUGGAACUGCGUGGCUGGAGUGCAGGAGGGGCAGGCGGAAUUCCUGGUGUAGCGGUGAAAUGCGUAGAUAUCAGGAGGAACACCGGUGGCGAAGGCGGCCUGCUGGACUGCAACUGACGUUGAGGCCCGAAAGCGUGGGGAGCAAACAGGAUUAGAUACCCCAGUA
This 445-nucleotide ribosomal RNA is filed under the name uncultured bacterium. RNAcentral describes it as "bacterial SSU rRNA". It matches the Rfam family "Bacterial small subunit ribosomal RNA", at positions 330 to 792 of the family's 1533-position model. The record is from RNAcentral.